GAUGAACGCUGGCGGCGUGCCUAAUACAUGCAAGUCGAGCGAACAGGCGGGGAGCUUGCUCCUCUGACGUUAGCGGCGGACGGGUGAGUAACACGUGGAUAACCUACCUAUAAGACUGGGAUAACUUCGGGAAACCGGAGCUAAUACCGGAUAACAUGUUGAACCGCAUGGUUCAACAGUGAAAGACGGUCUUGCUGUCACUUAUAGAUGGAUCCGCGCCGCAUUAGCUAGUUGGUAAGGUAACGGCUUACCAAGGCAACGAUGCGUAGCCGACCUGAGAGGGUGAUCGGCCACACUGGAACUGAGACACGGUCCAGACUCCUACGGGAGGCAGCAGUAGGGAAUCUUCCGCAAUGGGCGAAAGCCUGACGGAGCAACGCCGCGUGAGUGAAGAAGGUCUUCGGAUCGUAAAACUCUGUUAUUAGGGAAGAACAAAUGUGUAAGUAACUAUGCACGUCUUGACGGUACCUAAUCAGAAAGCCACGGCUAACUACGUG
RNAcentral lists this ribosomal RNA (497 nucleotides) under uncultured bacterium. RNAcentral describes it as "partial 16S ribosomal RNA". It matches the Rfam family "Bacterial small subunit ribosomal RNA", at positions 28 to 507 of the family's 1533-position model. The record is from RNAcentral.